Non-coding RNA from Spirochaeta sp., 112 nucleotides. NCBI's taxonomy places the organism in Bacteria, Pseudomonadati, Spirochaetota, Spirochaetia, Spirochaetales, Spirochaetaceae. The record is from Rfam.
CCUGGUGACUAUGGCGGCGGGGCAACACCCGUUCCCAUUCCGAACACGGCAGUUAAGCCCGCCAGCGCCGAUGGUACUGCACUUGAUGUGGGAGAGUAGGCCGUUGCCAGGU